GCCUUUGUAGCUCAGUGGUAGAGCAUCAACUCAUGAACCAGGAAAUCACAGGUUCGAUUCCCGGUCAGGGCA
RNAcentral lists this transfer RNA (72 nucleotides) under Myotis davidii. It matches the Rfam family "tRNA". Rfam says of the family: Transfer RNA (tRNA) molecules are approximately 80 nucleotides in length. The record is from Rfam by way of RNAcentral. Lineage: Eukaryota; Metazoa; Chordata; Mammalia; Chiroptera; Vespertilionidae.